Carassius auratus (goldfish) is the source of this 875-nucleotide long non-coding RNA. RefSeq lists it as uncharacterized. The record is from RefSeq and is a predicted model, not a curated record. The transcript is spliced from 4 exons. NCBI's taxonomy places the organism in Eukaryota, Metazoa, Chordata, Actinopteri, Cypriniformes, Cyprinidae.
UUGAUAUGAAUGGCUGGCGAUCUUUCAGACACAAAUGAUACUUGCAUCCAGCGUCUAGAUCUGAAGAGUUUCGGAGCUGCCACUCCAUUAAUCUAUAAUGCAAUCAUGCUUUUUUGUUUCCUUAAGAUUAAUUCUAAGCACUGAAAAAAGUCACUUCUGUGUGUGUCGGUGCAUUUCACAGGUGUUCUGUGAGGCCUGCAGAAAGACACUGCAGGCGUGUAACCAGAGACCUCGCAGACCUUGUGGGAACUCUGAUAAGAUACUCUUGCUCUUUUCCUCCCCUCCCCACUCUCUCUUUUCUGUCUUUUUCAGUACGAUGGGGCAAAAGGUGAGGGCGGGAAGCCAAACAAAGGCAUGUGUGCCUCUGCCGUAGUUGAGCAGGACCCCUCGCUCGUCUGUCAGAAGGCCGGGGUGCACCGUUUACAAUGGCAUUCUGCAUACAGACACUAGAGAAAGUGACCGGUGAGAGGGCAGCAUGUCGUCCCCACGGUAACAAGACCCUUGGGCCGGUUGAAAAAAGGGGGUGUAGAAGCACUCAAGGGCCUUGUCCUUGCUCUCAGAAAUUCCCUGGCAGUCAUAGAAACAUCGUUAGACUCCGGCAGCUUCCAGGGACCUCAUUCAUCCCUCCCGUCGCUGGAUCGCAUUACUUGCGCUGGCCCGGUGGCCAAGAAUUCAGGAUGGAAAGGAUAAAAAUCUGAUGAAAUGGAAAAAUAAUCCCUGUUGAUGCCAGCUGAUUUUGUUUGUGGAACACACCUCAGUCUUCACUGGAGUCUCCAAAGCACCAGGAACCAGGCCAAUUCAUUUUCCGAUUUCUUGCAUUGACUUAGGGACUAGGGCUAGGCCUGGCUUGGAUAAGGCCAACAUCCUGCUUCUGU